UAUUUCAGAAGGAACCGGAGACCUUGGUUGCGAUGUUGGACGUACCAAAAGAGAUACGGGCUUCCAGAAACUGAAUAGUUGCAUUUCACAGUCACUGGAUCCCCUUCGGCAACAGUGACCUGAUCUGGCUGAGACACCGACUGAGCUCUCAGCCCACCUGUAAAUGAAUCCACACUCCAUCAGUGAAGCUGCUGUAAAGCAUCGCCUAAGAGGAGUGUUAGCCUUGCAUCUUUGAGGGCCCUGGCAAUCACCUCAAGAGGAUAUCUGGAACAAAGCUUAAUGAAAAGGAUAUUUUAAACUUUUUGUGGGCAGAUUUAAGGGAAACGUGGAAGAGAAGGUGAAGCACCCAGGGCCUAGCAACAGCCAGAAGACUGAACCACUUGUAGGCCUGAAGGGAAGGAGAAGGAAGAAAUUACCAUGACCUGGGGACACCUGCGAAUGAGGGCAACUACGACCCAGCAGGACCUAUGGGCUGGAGUACAAGGAAGAAGAUGUGGCCCACAGCAAUGUCAAGGAGCUUCAGUCUGAGAUCCCAGUCUUAGGUCUCUCAUGGAAACAGUGGCAGACCCAUACCCCUCUGAGGCAAUCCUCACAUAUUGAAGAGCCCAGAUACCGCCCCCAAGAAAAGUUUACCACUAGUGCCGACACAGCCAGCAGCUGACAGAGCAGACCAAUCCAGAGAAAGGCUUCACACGGCUCCAUGCCACCGGCAUUGGCCUGUCAGCGUCCCUGCUGAGAAGACCUGGAACCCUGAACCAGGAGUCUCAGAGCAUGUCCUGGGAUGUGAAGGUACCAGAAGAAGGUGUAAGCAUUGGAUAUAGAGUGAUU
This is a long non-coding RNA of Neofelis nebulosa (Clouded leopard), 828 nucleotides long. RefSeq lists it as uncharacterized. Lineage: Eukaryota; Metazoa; Chordata; Mammalia; Carnivora; Felidae. The record is from RefSeq and is a predicted model, not a curated record. The transcript is spliced from 4 exons.